UACGGGGAGUGCGAGCGUUGUUCGGAAUUAUUGGGCGUAAAGCGCGUGUAGGCGGCCUGACAAGUCUGGAGUGAAAGCCCUCGGCUCAACCGGGGAAGUGCUUCGGAAACUGUCGGGCUUGAGUUCUGGAGGGGCGAGUGGAAUUCCCAGUGUAGAGGUGAAAUUCGUAGAUAUUGGGAGGAACACCAGUGGCGAAGGCGGCUCGCUGGACAGUGACUGACGCUGAGACGCGAAAGCGUGGGGAG
RNAcentral lists this ribosomal RNA (245 nucleotides) under uncultured bacterium. RNAcentral's name for it is "partial 16S ribosomal RNA". It matches the Rfam family "Bacterial small subunit ribosomal RNA", at positions 524 to 768 of the family's 1533-position model. The record is from RNAcentral.